UAGAUGCGAGAGUAGAGCAUAUCAAUAAGCGGAGGAAAAGAAACUAACAAGGAUUCCCUUAGUAACGGCGAGUGAAGCGGGAAGAGCUCAAAUUUGAAAUCUUCAAGGUUCUACCUUGACGAAUUGUAGUUUAAAGAAGUGUUUUCUGUUGGAGUUUUGGUAAAAGUUCUUUGGAAUAGGACAUCAUAGAGGGUGAGAAUCCCGUAUUUGACCAUUAUUUCCAACUUUGUGAUACACUUUCAACGAGUCGGAUUGUUUGGGAAUGCAGUCCAAAAUGGGUGGUAAAUUUCAUCUAAAGCUAAAUAUUGGCGAGAGACCGAUAGCGAACAAGUACCGUGAGGGAAAGAUGAAAAGAACUUUGAAAAGAGAGUUAAACAGUACGUGAAAUUGUCAAAAGGGAAGCGUUUGACACCAGUGUUGUUUUUCCGAAAAUCAAUUACGAAUGUUUUGUUUUUGAGGAGUUAUGACUUCAUCGGCUUGCUCCUUUCUUUAUGAAACUUUCUUAAUGCACUUUUCGGUUAACAAGUCAACAUCAAUUUCUUUUGUUGUAAAAGGGUAUGAGGAAGGUGGCUUUCUUUUCGGAGAAAGUGUUUAUAGCCUUGUGCCUCUGCAAUCGGAGAGAUUGAGGUCUGCAGCGUAGAUCCUUCGGGGUUAGAUACGUUUGUGCUAAGUUAUAGCUUUUCAUAGACAACUUGUUGACUAUGUUUAGUCUUGUAGCUUACUCGCUUACGCUAUUUUACCUACGCUUAGGAUGUUGACGAGACUGUCGAUCUC
Molecule: ribosomal RNA, 774 nt
Filed under: uncultured Neocallimastigales
Lineage: Eukaryota; Fungi; Neocallimastigomycota; Neocallimastigomycetes; Neocallimastigales
Description: partial large subunit ribosomal RNA
Rfam family: Eukaryotic large subunit ribosomal RNA
Source: RNAcentral